Molecule: long non-coding RNA, 306 nt
Organism: Asterias rubens (European starfish)
Lineage: Eukaryota; Metazoa; Echinodermata; Asteroidea; Forcipulatida; Asteriidae
Exons: 3
Source: RefSeq, a predicted model, not a curated record
UUGUGUGAUGGGAUCGUAAGGCCUGUCCCCACAGCAAACGUCACUUGGGGUUGAUUUACCAUGGAGGGUACCGGCACAACACAGGUAUGAGAGCUGUCCGCAGCAUCCCUGAACUCCGCUAACCUCCGGUAUUCCAUCCUGAAGGAUGCCAAGGCAACAUGAUGCUCUGUUAGCAUGGUACACCUGACCAUCGCAACAUUUUCCAUUACCUGCAGAUGGAUUAAAGUUCAAUUUCAGGAAGAUCGGACCACCCAAACUCCAGCCCCACACGCAUCUCUAUAGCUAUGGAAGAUGUGAUUACCGAUA